This 509-nucleotide ribosomal RNA is filed under the name uncultured bacterium. Its description in RNAcentral is "partial 16S ribosomal RNA". It matches the Rfam family "Bacterial small subunit ribosomal RNA", at positions 33 to 541 of the family's 1533-position model. The record is from RNAcentral.
GACGAACGCUGGCGGCGUGCUUAACACAUGCAAGUCGAACGGAAAGGCCCUGCUUUUGUGGGGUGCUCGAGUGGCGAACGGGUGAGUAACACGUGAGUAACCUGCCCUUGACUUUGGGAUAACUUCAGGAAACUGGGGCUAAUACCGGAUAGGAGCUCCUGCUGCAUGGUGGGGGUUGGAAAGUUUCGGCGGUUGGGGAUGGACUCGCGGCUUAUCAGCUUGUUGGUGGGGUAGUGGCUUACCAAGGCUUUGACGGGUAGCCGGCCUGAGAGGGUGACCGGCGACGGUGGGACGGAGAUCCACCGCAGGCUCGUGGGGGAGGGAGGCGGGGGAAAGAUGGAGACAGCGGCGGCCGCGGGGCGCCGGCACGGGGGGGGGGGGCGGACGGUCUGCGGGUGGUAACCCGCUUCCGCGGGUGAGGAGGCGGGAGCGACGGUAAGGGGAAAAGAAGCACCGGAUAACUGCGGGCCAGCAGCGGCUGUAAUAAGCGGAAGAGCACCCGUCCGAAC